UACGUAGGUCCCGAGCGUUGUCCGGAUUUAUUGGGCGUAAAGCGAGCGCAGGUGGUUUAUUAAGUCUGGUGUAAAAGGCAGUGGCUCAACCAUUGUGUGCAUUGGAAACUGGUAGACUUGAGUGCAGGAGAGGAGAGUGGAGUUCCAUGUGUAGCGGUGAAAUGCGUAGAUAUAUGGAGGAACACCGGUGGCGAAAGCGGCUCUCUGGCCUGUAACUGACACUGAGGCUCGAAAGCGUGGGGAGCAAACAGG
RNAcentral lists this ribosomal RNA (252 nucleotides) under uncultured bacterium. Its description in RNAcentral is "partial 16S ribosomal RNA". It matches the Rfam family "Bacterial small subunit ribosomal RNA", at positions 524 to 776 of the family's 1533-position model. The record is from RNAcentral.